UGGGGAAUCUUGCGCAAUGGGCGAAAGCCUGACGCAGCAACGCCGCGUGUGUGAUGAAGGUCUUCGGAUCGUAAAGCACUGUCGCGAGGGACGAAUAAGGGGCGGGCUAACAUCCCGUUCCGAUGACGUA
RNAcentral lists this ribosomal RNA (130 nucleotides) under uncultured bacterium. RNAcentral describes it as "partial 16S rRNA". It matches the Rfam family "Bacterial small subunit ribosomal RNA", at positions 355 to 476 of the family's 1533-position model. The record is from RNAcentral.